This 1423-nucleotide long non-coding RNA is filed under the name Gossypium barbadense (sea-island cotton). Its description in RNAcentral is "long non-coding RNA (GBAR_LNC005939)". Lineage: Eukaryota; Viridiplantae; Streptophyta; Magnoliopsida; Malvales; Malvaceae. The record is from RNAcentral.
AAAGGGCCCAAUUGAACACUGGUGCAAAAGGGAAAGACUGGCCACUCAAAUUACCCAUUCAAGGUAAAAUGCGUGGACCCAGCCUGGCAAAUGGGUCAACACGCCUUCCCCCACCCCCCAAAUGUUACUGCUUCUCACACUCAAGCAUUUAUUUUAUUAUUAAAAGAAAAAAGUUUGUUUUAAAGCCAAUCUUUUGCUAAAGAAAACACUUUAACUUCUGUUUCUUAAAAAAAAACUUUAUUACUCCCACAACUCACCCCCCAGACGAAUGGCCAAGCUUUAACCGCCUCAAAAUCCGACUAUGGCAAACGGAGUCGAGCCAUCAGCUGUCGUGAGCGUGAUGCAACUCCGGUAAGUCUCCUCCUUUCUCUUAUAUCUUAGUAUAUUUGAUGAAAAUAGAAAAAAAGAAAAACGAAAUCAAACAGCAAUCACCACCUUUGAAUAUCUCUUGGUUGCUUUUUAUUGAUUUUUUUGAAUGUAUUUUGUAUACAACUUGUGUUCUAUCUCUUUGAGAAAAAUGAAAAAGAAAAGAAAAACCACCCCCUUACAAUUAAAAAAAAUCGAAGGCUUUAUAGCCUAUACAAACGGUUCCUUGCUAUUCUCCAUUUUGCAGGUACGUGGAGACGUGAAGAGUGCGUUCAUGGGCGUGUCAACGUGAAAUAUGGAAGGUGGAAGCGUGGGCUGAAGUAAUGGCGCGCGUAGAGGCUGGCUCGAAGGCAGCAGCAGCGCAAGGGGGAAAGGGAAUGGGUUCUGAAAACUCCAAAAACCUGGGCCUACUGGCUUUGGUUCAUUUCAUUCAGUAUUAGGCCAUUGUAAAACUUUGUGGGCCUGUUUAAUUUGGGUUUAAUGCAAGGCCGGGCAAAAUAUGGGUUUUACAAAAAAGAUUCUUGAAAAUAUCAACUCUCGUCCUCCCAUUACUUCUCUACACCAAUUCAUUAAAAUAAAAUUUUAUCAUGACUGAUCACAUUAACUCAAACAUCUUAUUAUCAGACUAUUUGUGAAACCCAAAUGGUCAGUUGUUUACUCAAAUGGACUCACACUAAUCUCUUAAUUCUCUAAAAAAGGCUCUCGUAUUCAUCAAAGAGAGCAAAGGGAGUUCACUCAUACAAAAACUAUGCCCAUACUUGGUCAGGCACUUGAUAACAGUUCUAGCAACUCUUGGCAUUACAAUAUGAACUAUAUAUAGCUACUGAUAAUAUUUCUAUUAACAAUAUCAAUUAUGUAUAAUUAAUUAAUACACUAACAAAAUUUUUUUUCUUUUAUAUAAUUACAUAAGUAUAUUAAGAAAUUAUUACGUAUUCUUAAUAGAUAUUUUUUAAAAAUAUAUAGGAAAUAUACCGAUUUGUUAAAUAUUUUUGUAAAAAUAAGAAACUUCAGGACUUACAUAUAAAAUAAUAAUAUUUUAAAUUAUCGUAUUUAUCUC